RNAcentral lists this ribosomal RNA (271 nucleotides) under uncultured archaeon. Its description in RNAcentral is "partial 16S ribosomal RNA". It matches the Rfam family "Archaeal small subunit ribosomal RNA", at positions 477 to 747 of the family's 1478-position model. The record is from RNAcentral.
CAGCGCCACAAGUGGCAAUCACGUUUAUUGGGCCUAAAGCGUCCGUAGCCGGUUUAGCAAAUCUUUUGUGAAAUCGUCAGGCUUAACUUGACGAAUUGCAGAAGACACUACUAAACUAGGGACUGGGAGGAGUCAGAAGUAUUCUGGGGGGACCGGUAAAAUGGUAUAAUCCCCAGAGGACUACCGAUGGCGAAGGCAUCUGACCAGAACGGAUCCGACUGUGAGGGACGAAAGCUAGGGGAGCAAACCGGAUUAGAUACCCGAGUAGUCC